GAUCCAGACUUUGAUCAUGGCUCAGGAUAAACGCUGGCGGCGCACAUAAGACAUGCAAGUCGAACGAACUUAACCAUUAGUUUACUAUUGGAGCGGUUAGUGGCGGACUGGUGAGUAACACGUAAGCAACCUGCCUAUCAGAGGGGAACAACAGUUAGAAAUGACUGCUAAUACCGCAUAUGCCUUGAGUAUCACAUGGUACAAAAGGGAAAGGAGCAAUCCGCUGAUAGAUGGGCUUGCGUCUGAUUAGAUAGUUGGUGAGGUAACGGCCCACCAAGUCGACGAUCAGUAGCCGGACUGAGAGGUUGAACGGCCACAUUGGGACUGAGAUACGGCCCAGACUCCUACGGGAGGCAGCAGUCGGGAAUAUUGCGCAAUGGAGGAAACUCUGACGCAGUGACGCCGCGUGCAGGAAGAAGGUUUUCGGAUUGUAAACUGCUUUAGACAGGGAAGAAACAAGACAGUACCUGUAGAAUAAGCUCCGGCUAACUACGUGCCAGCAGCCGCGGUAAUACGUAGGGAGCAAGCGUUAUCCGGAUUUAUUGGGUGUAAAGGGUGCGUAGACGGGAGAGCAAGUUAGUUGUGAAAUCCCUCAGCUCAACUGAGGAACUGCAACUAAAACUACUAUUCUUGAGUGCUGGAGAGGAAAGUGGAAUUCCUAGUGUAGCGGUGAAAUGCGUAGAUAUUAGGAGGAACACCAGUGGCGAAGGCGACUUUCUGGACAGUAACUGACGUUGAGGCACGAAAGUGUGGGGAGCAAACAGGAUUAGAUACCCUGGUAGUCCACACCGUAAACGAUGGAUACUAGGUGUAGGGUGUGAUAAACAUUCUGUGCCGUCGCAAACGCAGUAAGUAUCCCACCUGGGGAGUACGGAAGCAGGGUUGCAACUCAAAGGAAUUGACGG
RNAcentral lists this ribosomal RNA (905 nucleotides) under uncultured bacterium. RNAcentral describes it as "bacterial SSU rRNA". It matches the Rfam family "Bacterial small subunit ribosomal RNA", at positions 1 to 916 of the family's 1533-position model. The record is from RNAcentral.